This 3400-nucleotide small RNA is filed under the name Pongo abelii (Sumatran orangutan). RNAcentral describes it as "retained intron". Lineage: Eukaryota; Metazoa; Chordata; Mammalia; Primates; Hominidae. The record is from RNAcentral.
GGUUGAACCGUGCAGAUACCUUUUCGAAACAAAAGGUUUUCCUACCUGCUUAUACUUGGUAACCGAGGGAAUUACUAAGACUUCUUGCUCAUUUCUGAGUAUUGUCUUUAUAUCCUGACACUAUGAAUGCUACUUGGAUGCCUCUUAAGUCUGUUCUCUGGGGAGGCAGUAAGGGGCCGUGGAGCUGGCCUCGGCCUCGGCAUCGGGAGAGGCUGGACUUCCUGUCUCUCUGUGCUGAAUGGCUGCGAUGGCGCCCGCUCUCACUGACGCAGCAGCUGAAGCACACCAUAUCCGGUUCAAACUGGCUCCCCCAUCCUCUACCUUGUCCCCUGGCAGUGCCGAAAAUAACGGCAACGCCAACAUCCUUAUUGCUGCCAACGGAACCAAAAGAAAAGCCAUUGCUGCAGAGGAUCCCAGCCUAGAUUUCCGAAAUAAUCCUACCAAGGAAGACUUGGGAAAGCUGCAACCACUGGUGGCAUCUUAUCUCUGCUCUGAUGUAACAUCUGUUCCCUCAAAGGAGUCUUUGAAGUUGCAAGGGGUCUUCAGCAAGCAGACAGUCCUUAAAUCUCAUCCUCUCUUAUCUCAGUCCUAUGAACUCCGAGCUGAGCUGUUGGGGAGACAGCCAGUUUUGGAGUUUUCCUUAGAAAAUCUUAGAACCAUGAAUACGAGUGGUCAGACAGCUCUGCCAAAAGCACCUGUAAAUGGGUUGGCUAAGAAAUUGACUAAAAGUUCAACACAUUCUGAUCAUGACAAUUCCACUUCCCUCAAUGAGGGAAAACGGGCUCUCACUUCAUCUGCUCUUCAUGGGGGUGAAAUGGGAGGAUCUGAAUCUGGGGACUUGAAGGGGGGUAUGACCAAUUGCACUCUUCCACAUAGAAGCCUUGAUGUAGAACACACAACUUUGUAUAGCAAUAAUAGCACUGCAAACAAAUCUUCUGUCAAUUCCAUGGAACAGCCGGCACUUCAAGGAAGCAGUAGGUUAUCACCUGGUACAGACUCCAGCUCUAACUUGGGGGGUGUCAAAUUAGAGGGUAAAAAGUCUCCCCUGUCUUCCAUACUUUUCAGUGCUUUAGAUUCUGACACAAGGAUAACAGCUUUACUGCGGCGACAGGCUGACAUUGAGAGCCGUGCCCGCAGAUUACAAAAGCGCUUACAGGUUGUGCAAGCCAAGCAGGUUGAGAGGCAUAUACAACAUCAGCUGGGUGGAUUUUUGGAGAAGACUUUGAGCAAACUGCCAAACUUGGAAUCCUUGAGACCACGGAGCCAGUUGAUGCUGACUCGAAAGGCUGAAGCUGCCUUGAGAAAAGCUGCCAGUGAGACCACCACUUCAGAGGGACUUAGCAACUUUCUGAAAAGCAAUUCAAUUUCAGAAGAAUUGGAGAGAUUUACAGCUAGUGGCAUAGCCAACUUGAGGUGCAGUGAACAGGCAUUUGAUUCAGAUGUCACUGACAGUAGUUCAGGAGGGGAGUCUGAUAUUGAAGAGGAAGAACUGACCAGAGCUGAUCCCGAGCAGCGCCAUGUACCCCUGAGACGCAGGUCAGAAUGGAAAUGGGCUGCAGAUCGGGCAGCUAUUGUCAGCCGCUGGAACUGGCUUCAGGCUCAUGUUUCUGACUUGGAAUAUCGAAUUCGUCAGCAAACAGACAUUUACAAACAGAUACGUGCUAAUAAGGGGUUGAUAGUUCUUGGGGAGGUACCUCCCCCAGAGCAUACAACAGACUUAUUUCUUCCACUUAGUUCUGAGGUGAAGACAGAUCAUGGGACUGAUAAAUUGAUUGAGUCUGUUUCUCAGCCAUUGGAAAACCAUGGUGCCCCUAUUAUUGGUCAUAUUUCAGAGUCACUGUCUACCAAAUCAUGUGGAGCACUCAGACCUGUCAAUGGAGUUAUUAACACUCUUCAGCCUGUCUUGGCAGACCACAUUCCAGGUGACAGCUCUGAUGCUGAGGAACAAUUACAUAAGAAGCAACGACUGAAUCUCGUCUCUUCGUCAUCUGAUGGCACCUGUGUGGCAGCCCGGACACGUCCUGUACUGAGCUGUAAGAAACGGAGGCUUGUUCGACCCAACAGCAUCGUUCCUCUUUCCAAGAAGGUUCACCGGAACAGCACAAUCCGCCCUGGCUGUGAUGUGAAUCCCUCCUGUGCACUGUGUGGUUCAGGCAGCAUCAACACCAUGCCUCCCGAAAUUCACUAUGAAGCCCCUCUGUUGGAACGUCUUUCCCAGUUGGACUCUUGUGUUCACCCUGUUCUAGCAUUUCCAGAUGGUAAGAAAGACCACAGACUAGAAAGUCUAAUGAAAGAGACUUGAGAGACUUCUAGGUGAAAGAAAAUCAGCCAAGGUCCAGUUACAACUCAGAUACUUUCAAGGUACAACUUUCGUCAACCAAGUCUUCUCUUAGAAUUUUGCAAAAAGACUGCAGCAGAUCCACCAAAUCAGAAGGUGCCACUAAAAGGUUGCAACUUAAUAUGAGAUUUCCUUCUAACUCUUCAAGUAGCUAGGAGGGAACUGGGCUCAGUUGCCUCUAGCCACAGUAAUCUGGUCCAAAAUACGCUUAGUAUGUCUUUAGAAAUGUUUUGUCUGGGCCAGGUGUGGUGGCUCACACCUGUAAUCCCAGCACUUUGGUAGGCUGAGGUGGGCGGAUCACCUGAGGUCAGGAGUUCUAGACCAGCCUGACCAACGUGGUGAAACCACUGUCUCUACUAAAUACAAAAAAUUAGCCAGUCGUGGUUGUGCUUGCCUGUAAUCCCAGCUACUUGGGAGGCUAAGGCAGGAGAAUUGCUUGAACCUGGGAGGCAGAGGUUGCAGUGAGCCAAGAUUGCACGAUUGCACUCUAGCCUGGAUAACAGAGCAAGACUCCGUCUCAAAAAAAAAAAAAAAAAAAAAAGUUUUGUCUGUGCGUGCCAUGAUAUAAUGUAGGAUGGACGGCAGUGUUCUAGGAGAAUAUCUUCAUACUGGCAUUUAUGUGGUAACGUGACAGCUUUGCAGGGUGUAGAUAAGCACAAAUCUUCGUUGUUAGCUUGUACUGUCUUUCUAAAGUUUGCCUUCCUGUUAAAUCUCUGUGUCUGACAGCCCUCCUUUCCCAUCUCCCUUCCCAUACCUGUACCUCUCCCACUUGACAAAAGAAGAGCAUUCCUUUUGGCCAUAUUGAGUCCCACUAUGGGUCUUGCCCCAGAGUGUAAAAAUCUUGAGGCUGGGUGUCGUGGCCCACGUCUUUAAUCCCGUCACUUUGGGAGACCGAGGCAGGCAGAUCACUUGAGGUCAGGAGUUCGAGACCAGGUGCAGUGGCUCACACUUGUAAUCCCAGCAUUUUGGGAGGCCAAGACGGGCGGAUCAUGAGGUCAGGAGUUGAAGACCAGCCUGGCCAACAUAGUGAAACCCCAUCUCUACUAAAAAUACAAAAAUUAG